CGAAAGCCUGACGGAGCAAGACCGCGUGGGGGAGGAAUGCCUUAGGGUUGUAAACCCCUUUUAUCUGGGAAGAACAAAAUGACGGUACCAGAUGAAUAAGCCUCGGCUAACUCCGUGCCAGCAGCCGCGGUAAUACGGAGGAGGCAAGCGUUAUCCGGAUUUAUUGGGCGUAAAGCGUCCGCAGGUGGUUCUUCAAGUCUGCUGUCAAAGCACGGGGCUUAACUCCGUAAAGGCAGUGGAAACUGAAUAGCUAGAGUGCCGUAGGGGUAGAGGGAAUUCCCGGUGUAGCGGUGAAAUGCGUAGAGAUUGGGAAGAACACCGGUGGCGAAAGCGCCCUACUGGGCCAUAACUGACACUGAGGGACGAAAGCUAGGGGAGCG
This 380-nucleotide ribosomal RNA is filed under the name uncultured cyanobacterium. RNAcentral's name for it is "bacterial SSU rRNA". It matches the Rfam family "Bacterial small subunit ribosomal RNA", at positions 376 to 770 of the family's 1533-position model. Lineage: Bacteria; Bacillati; Cyanobacteriota. The record is from RNAcentral.